GAUGAACGCUAGCUACAGGCUUAACACAUGCAAGUCGAGGGGAAACGACAUCGAAAGCUUGCUUUUGAUGGGCGUCGACCGGCGCACGGGUGAGUAACGCGUAUCCAACCUGCCCAUCACUUGGGAAUAACCUUGCGAAAGUAAGACUAAUACCCAAUGACAUCCCACGAAGACAUCUGAAUGGGAUUAAAGAUUUAUCGGUGAUGGAUGGGGAUGCGUCUGAUUAGCUUGUUGGCGGGGUAACGGCCCACCAAGGCAACGAUCAGUAGGGGUUCUGAGAGGAAGGUCCCCCACAUUGGAACUGAGACACGGUCCAAACUCCUACGGGAGGCAGCAGUGAGGAAUAUUGAUCAAUGGGCGAGAGCCUGAACCAGCCAAGUAGCGUGCAGGAUGACGGCCCCAUGGGUUGUAAACUGCUUUUAUAAGGGAAUAAAGUGGGUCUCGUGAGACUUUUUGCAUGUACCUUAUGAAUAAGGACCGGCUAAUUCCGUG
RNAcentral lists this ribosomal RNA (492 nucleotides) under uncultured bacterium. RNAcentral describes it as "partial 16S ribosomal RNA". It matches the Rfam family "Bacterial small subunit ribosomal RNA", at positions 28 to 507 of the family's 1533-position model. The record is from RNAcentral.